This 579-nucleotide ribosomal RNA is filed under the name Escherichia coli. Its description in RNAcentral is "partial 23S ribosomal RNA". It matches the Rfam family "Bacterial large subunit ribosomal RNA", at positions 1305 to 1869 of the family's 2925-position model. The record is from RNAcentral. Lineage: Bacteria; Pseudomonadati; Pseudomonadota; Gammaproteobacteria; Enterobacterales; Enterobacteriaceae.
AGUAACGAUAAAGCGGGUGAAAAGCCCGCUCGCCGGAAGACCAAGGGUUCCUGUCCAACGUUAAUCGGGGCAGGGUGAGUCGACCCCUAAGGCGAGGCCGAAAGGCGUAGUCGAUGGGAAACAGGUUAAUAUUCCUGUACUUGGUGUUACUGCGAAGGGGGGACGGAGAAGGCUAUGUUGGCCGGGCGACGGUUGUCCCGGUUUAAGCGUGUAGGCUGGUUUUCCAGGCAAAUCCGGAAAAUCAAGGCUGAGGCGUGAUGACGAGGCACUACGGUGCUGAAGCAACAAAUGCCCUGCUUCCAGGAAAAGCCUCUAAGCAUCAGGUAACAUCAAAUCGUACCCCAAACCGACACAGGUGGUCAGGUAGAGAAUACCAAGGCGCUUGAGAGAACUCGGGUGAAGGAACUAGGCAAAAUGGUGCCGUAACUUCGGGAGAAGGCACGCUGAUAUGUAGGUGAAGCGACUUGCUCGUGGAGCUGAAAUCAGUCGAAGAUACCAGCUGGCUGCAACUGUUUAUUAAAAACACAGCACUGUGCAAACACGAAAGUGGACGUAUACGGUGUGACGCCUGCCCGGUGC